GACGAACGCUGGCGGCGUGCUUAACACAUGCAAGUCGAACGCAGUGGCGGACGGGUGAGUAACGCGUAAUCAACCUGCUCUUCAGCGGGGGACAACAGUUGGAAACGACUGCUAAUACCGCAUACUGAAGGAGGGGUUUGCGUCUGAUUAGCUAGUUGGAGGGGUAACGGCCAACCAAGGCUGUGAUCAGUAGCCGGUCUGAGGGGAUGAACGGCCACAUUGGGACUGAGAAACGGCCCAGACUCCUACGGGAGGGAGCAGUGGGGAAUCGUCCGAAAUGGACGAAAGUCUGACGGAGCAAAGCCGCGGGAGUGAUGACGGCCUUCGGGUUGUAAAGCUCUGUUAAUCGGGACGCGGUACCGGAAGAGAAAGCCACGGCUAACUACGUGCCAGCAGCCGCGGUAAUUC
This 408-nucleotide ribosomal RNA is filed under the name uncultured bacterium. RNAcentral describes it as "partial 16S ribosomal RNA". It matches the Rfam family "Bacterial small subunit ribosomal RNA", at positions 28 to 526 of the family's 1533-position model. The record is from RNAcentral.